RNAcentral lists this long non-coding RNA (892 nucleotides) under Ananas comosus (pineapple). RNAcentral describes it as "long non-coding RNA (ACOM_LNC007118)". Lineage: Eukaryota; Viridiplantae; Streptophyta; Magnoliopsida; Poales; Bromeliaceae. The record is from RNAcentral.
AGGGUCAGGAUGAUAUUAGUCGGUUAGAGUUGAGUGGUCCCCCCAGGGUUGAGUGGUCAACACUAGAUUAGAGUAUUUAAUCCGAUGGUUAGAAAUAAUGAAAAGAGUUGAUCCAAAGGCUAAAAAACUGGUAGCAACAAUGGGAUUUUGCUACUAAUAGUAGCCCAAUCUAUCUCUCUCUCUCUCUCUCUCUCUCUCUCUCUCUCUCUCUCUCUCUCUCUCUAUAUAUAUAUAUAUAUAUAUAUAUAUAUAUAUAUAGAAUUAGGCUGGAAUACAAUAGUAAAACGCUAUUUUUAUUAUCAAGUUUUUAACCGUUAGAUGAAAAAUUGUAGGGUUAGGAUGAUAAUAGUCAGUUAGAGUUGUGUGGUCCUCUAGGGUUGAGUGGUUCUCACUGGGUUAUAGUAUUUAAUCCAAUGGUUAGAAAUAAUGAAAAGAGUUGAUCCAAAGGCUAAAAAACUGGUAGCAACAAUGGGAUUUUGCUACUAAUAGUAGCCCAAUCCAACUCUCUCUCUCUCUCUCUCUCUCUCUCUCUCUCUCUCUCUCUCUCUCUAUAUAUAUAUAUAUAUAUAUAUAUAUAUAUAUAUAGAAUUAGGCUGGAAUACAAUAGUAAAACGCUAUUUUUAUUAUCAAGUUUUUAACCGUUAGAUGAAAAAUUGUAGGGUUAGGAUGAUAAUAGUCAGUUAGAGUUGUGUGGUCCUCUAGGGUUGAGUGGUCCCCACUGGGUUAUAGUAUUUAAUCCAAUGGUUAGAAAUAAUGAAAAGAGUUGAUCCAAAGGCUAAAAAACUGGUAGCAACAAUGAGAUUUUGCUACUAAUAGUAGCCCAGUCCAAUUCUCUCUCUCCUCUCUCUCUCUCUCUAUAUAUAUAUAUAUAUAUAUAAACUAUAUAUUAAUC